RNAcentral lists this long non-coding RNA (1187 nucleotides) under Homo sapiens (human). RNAcentral describes it as "HSALNT0304913". The record is from RNAcentral. Lineage: Eukaryota; Metazoa; Chordata; Mammalia; Primates; Hominidae.
UACUUUAGAUCAUCUCUAGGUUAAUUAUAAUGCCUAGUACAAUGUAAAUGAUAUGUAAAUAGUCAUUAUACUGUACUAUUUGUAUUGUUAUAUUGUUAUUUUUCUCUAAAUAUUUUUGAUCCAUAGUUGGUUGAAUCCACGGAUGUUUGGAUCCAGCCCCUGGAUACGGAGGGCUGACUUUAAUCUUCCCCCAUCCUUAAGUAUCCUGUGAAGUUAUAAAUGAUGUGUGCCAUGUCUUACACCAGCAACUGUGCCCCCUUGGCCUGGGCACAUGUGGCAACUGUCCAUGCAUCAUGUUGUUUAGGAGUCUUUUUUCCAGAGCUGAUGAUAACAAGACAGUUUCCUCUGCAGCUUCUUUCACCUGGCAUCUAUUUCACAGAGGAGGGAGAGGAGGGAAGGAAAUUGUAAUUCACAGUGAUGUUAUCAGCCAGCACCAUGCCUGGGAGAUCACCAGUGCAGGAGAGGUAUAAAAUGCUCCAGGGGCAAGGUUCUGAGAAGAUGCCCUGCCACUGUAUGAGGCCACAACCUGCUGUGUAUAACCUCAUCUAAGCACAGAGAAGCACCAGGUGAACCCAAGUGGAAAGUAGUCUAUUAAAAAGGGGUUAGGGGCCCUCUGCAUCCCUCCAAAAUGUCAAUGUCAUCAAAAAUUUUAAAAGACUCUGGAAACGUUCCAGAUUUAAGAAAGCUAAAGAAACAUCACAGCCCUAGGCUGGGUCCAGUCUGGGAGUGGAAAAAAUGCUGUGAGGAUAUUACUGACUCAAGUGAUAAAACUGGAAUAAAUGGGUUAAAGUACGGUAUCAAUAUUGAUAACUACAAUUAUGUUAGAGAGUCCCAUAUUCUUGGGAAAUAUACACUGAAGUAUUUAGGGGUAAAGGAGUAUGAUGAACUUAUUGGCAAAUGCUUUAGAAACAGCCAUCGUACUUGUAUAUAAUAUUUAUGUAAGUAUGUGUUUUACACAGGAAGACUGAGCGUGGGAAAUGAUAAAGCAAACUGUGGACUUGAAUGAAAGACAUACAGGUAUUCUUUGUAUUUUUAUAGUUAGCUUCUGAGUCUGAAAUUAUUUCCCAAAUAAAAAGUUAAAAACAAAUCUCUACUGAACAAUGUACAUCUUCCAAGAGAUUUCCUUGUAGCUAAACUACUGAUAAGCUUAGGUUCAUAAAAGUCUAUCUAGCAUCCAGUGACUAAGG